AGUCAAUAGAUACCCCGGUAGUCCACGCCCUAAACGAUGCGAACUGGAUGUUGGGUGCAACUAGGCACUCAGUAUCGAAAGCUAACGCGUUAAGUUCGCCGCCUGGGGAGUACGGUCGCAAGACUGAAACUCAAAGGAAUUGACGGGGGCCGCACAAGCGGUGGAGUAUGUGGUUUAAUUCGAUGCAACGCGCAGAACCUUACCUGGCCUUGACAUCCACGGAACUUUCCAGAGAUGGAUUGGUGCCUUCGGAACCGUGAGACAGGUGCUGCAUGGCUGUCGUCAGCUCGUGUCGUGAGAUGUUGGGUUAAGUCCCGCAACGAGCGCAACCCUUGUCCUUAGUUGCCAGCACGUAAUGGUGGGAACUCUAAGGAGACCGCCGGCGACAAGCCGGA
Molecule: ribosomal RNA, 395 nt
Filed under: uncultured bacterium
Lineage: Bacteria
Description: bacterial SSU rRNA
Rfam family: Bacterial small subunit ribosomal RNA
Source: RNAcentral